CAGUAGCCGCGGUAAUACGGAGGGGGCUAGCGUUGUUCGGAAUUACUGGGCGUAAAGCGCACGUAGGCGGAUCAGUCAGUCAGGGGUGAAAUCCCGGGGCUCAACCCCGGAACUGCCUUUGAUACUGCUGGUCUUGAGGUCGAGAGAGGUGAGUGGAAUUCCGAGUGUAGAGGUGAAAUUCGUAGAUAUUCGGAGGAACACCAGUGGCGAAGGCGGCUCACUGGCUCGAUACUGACGCUGAGGUGCGAAAGCGUGGGGAGCAAACAGGAUUAGAUACCCCAGUAGUCCCUGUCUCUUAUAC
RNAcentral lists this ribosomal RNA (301 nucleotides) under uncultured bacterium. Its description in RNAcentral is "partial 16S ribosomal RNA". It matches the Rfam family "Bacterial small subunit ribosomal RNA", at positions 509 to 807 of the family's 1533-position model. The record is from RNAcentral.